RNAcentral lists this ribosomal RNA (466 nucleotides) under uncultured bacterium. RNAcentral describes it as "partial 16S ribosomal RNA". It matches the Rfam family "Bacterial small subunit ribosomal RNA", at positions 28 to 507 of the family's 1533-position model. The record is from RNAcentral.
GAUGAACGCUGGCGGCGUGCUUAACACAUGCAAGUCGAACGAUGAAGCCCAGCUUGCUGGGUGGAUUAGUUGCGAACGGGUGAGUAACACGUGAGUAACCUGCCCUUAACUCUGGGAUAAGCCUGGGAAACUGGGUCUAAUACCGGAUAGGAGCUUCCACCGCAUGGUGGGUGUUGGAAAGAUUUAUCGGUUUUGGAUGGACUCGCGGGCUAUCAGCUUGUUGGUGAGGUAAUGGCUCACCAAGGCGACGACGGGUAGCCGGCCUGAGAGGGUGACCGGCCACACUGGGACUGAGACACGGCGCAGUCGCCUACGGGAGGCAGCGGGGGGGAGUAUUGCACAAUGGGCGCGAGCCUGAUGCAGAGACGCCGCGUGAGGAAUGACGGCCUUCGGGUUGUAAACAUCUUUCAGUAGGGAAGAAGCGAAAGUGACGGUACCUGCAGAAGAAGCACCGGCUAACUACGUG